Molecule: ribosomal RNA, 506 nt
Filed under: uncultured bacterium
Lineage: Bacteria
Description: bacterial SSU rRNA
Rfam family: Bacterial small subunit ribosomal RNA
Source: RNAcentral
CGUGCCUAAUACAUGCAAGUCGAACGGUCUUUCUAUGGAAGCUUGCUUCCACUGAGAAGAUAGUGGCGAACGGGUGAGUAACACGUGGGUAACCCUGCCCAUAAGAGGGGGGAUAACAUCCGGAAACGGGUGCUAAUACCGCAUAGUUUUCUUGAUUGCAUGAUUGAGAAAGGAAAGACGGCCUUUGUGCUGUCGCUUAUGGAUGGACCCGCGGCGUAUUAGUUAGUUGGUGAGGUAACGGCUCACCAAGACGAUGAUACGUAGCCGACCUGAGAGGGUGAUCGGCCACAUUGGGACUGAGACACGGCCCAAACUCCUACGGGAGGCAGCAGUAGGGAAUCUUCCGCAAUGGACGAAAGUCUGACGGAGCAACGCCGCGUGAGUGAAGAAAAGGUUUUUCGGAUCGUAAAACUCUGUUGUCAGAGAAGAACAAGUUGGAGAGUAACUGCUCCAGCCUUGACGGUAUCUGACCAGAAAGCCACGGCUAACUACGUGCCAGCCGCAGC